UGGCAGGUGUACAUUACAUAUUUUGGCCUUGCAAAACUUUAUAUGGAUCCUGAGACAGAUGAACACAUAUCAUAUAGGGAACAUAAAAGUUUCGUAGGCACUCAUCGCUAUGCGAGUCUGUAUACACACUGUGGUGUCGAGCAAAGUAGACGUGUUGAUGUAGAGUCUCUUGGUUAUGUUCUUGUGUAUUUCCUAAAAGGAAGGUUAGAUCAAAUAAAGUCUGUUGAUGGUUUUGUUUAUUGUAAUUUUGGUUGUGUGGUCUAAUUGUGUCCAUGGCUUAAGUCUUCCAUGGCAGGGAAUUAGUGUAGGAAGCAACGAAGAGGAGUUAAAUCAUAAACUAAUGAUUAAGAAGUUUAACACUAAACCUGAGGAGCUAUGUGAAUCAUGUCCACCCGAGUUUGCAGCAUGGGUCAAGUGUAUGCGACUUACACUCUUUAGUGAAAUGCCCUCCUAUAUUUAUUUGAUGGCUAUUACCCAACGACUCUUUAAGUCUAAAGGUUAAACCUCAUAAUCCAAUUUUAUAAACUUUAAUCCACAAAUGCCUUUCGGUUUCAUAUAAUAAUAUUGAUACCUGCAGGCUAUAAGUUCGAUUAUGUAUAUGAUUGGAGCAUAUCUCCAAAGGACAACAUCAAGUUGGGAGCACCAGCUGAAAAACCAAUAAGAAUUUUGGCUACUCAAGAUACCCAUGAUACAGUAGAAGCGUUUUCCAGAACCAGGAUUUCCGAUGAUGUACCUUCAUCAAAAGAUGUGCAACCCGAUCCUGAAAAUGAAAAUCCCAAUCCCUGGCAGAUAGUUGGUGGACGGCGAAGGCAAAGGCACCACGAGUCGAGCGGUGGUGGACAUGGAGUUGCUAUGUUUAGGAAGUCAAAGAAUCAUAAUUUUAUUUAAGGAAAUUAUUAUUUUGUAGAAUUUUCCAUGUUUUUGAUGUUGCGUAUCUUGUAACAAUGGUGAUAUAUAAGAAACUAAGUGUGAGACCGAUGUAUUAAAUGAGUUUAUUUAAAAGAAAA
Lactuca sativa (garden lettuce) is the source of this 1007-nucleotide non-coding RNA. The record is from RefSeq and is a predicted model, not a curated record. Lineage: Eukaryota; Viridiplantae; Streptophyta; Magnoliopsida; Asterales; Asteraceae.